UAUACCCACCAGAGUGAUGUCUGGAGCUACGGGGUGACCGUUUGGGAGUUGAUGACCUUUGGAUCCAAGCCAUAUGACGGAAUCCCUGCCAGCGAGAUCUCCUCCAUCCUGGAGAAAGGAGAACGCCUCCCUCAGCCACCCAUAUGUACCAUCGAUGUCUACAUGAUCAUGGUCAAGUGCUGGAUGAUAGACGCAGAUAGUCGCCCAAAGUUCCGUGAGUUGAUCAUCGAAUUCUCCAAAAUGGCCCGAGACCCCCAGCGCUACCUUGUCAUUCAGGUACAAAUUGCAGUCUGUGCUUCCAUUGGGAAGAGUCCCUCUAAUGAGCAUCUCAUGUCACUGUGUUCUGUCACAUGCCAGCCUGGCCUCCCUGUGUCCCAGAUCGCAUUAUUAAACCCUCCAGCGCAUUAGAGCAAGCCUCAGUAAGGCGCAGGCCACAUCGUGAACUAAGCAGCAUCCGUGAGUGGGGCCCACCCAACUCCAUCUCCCCCUCCCCGUCUGAACUCUCCUCCCGUGCUCGUCCUCACUGUCCGGCUAGCCAAAGCCUCAGCUGGGUCUAACAGAGAAGCAUGGUCUAUUGGGCUUUGGUGUCAGGCAGACGUGGCUUCACACCCCUGACUCUCCACUUCUUCGCAUCACCCAGGCAGCCGAUCCACCUAUCUCCUUCC
This 665-nucleotide small RNA is filed under the name Pan troglodytes (chimpanzee). RNAcentral describes it as "retained intron". The record is from RNAcentral. Lineage: Eukaryota; Metazoa; Chordata; Mammalia; Primates; Hominidae.